AUGACAGAAAACGCGACCUACUGUGACAAACACGUAUCAUCACGGAAGUGUAUUUUUUUUGUAGUGAUACCAGUAGACGUCACAAACCUAAAGGCAAAGUACCAUAGAGAGAGCAGGUUGGUUGACAUAGAAGACACAAUAGCCUAAUUCAAAGAGAAAGCAAAAGCAGAUAUUGAUUUCUUCUACAUGAUAAGAUUGGACGAUGAGGACCGUGUUAGAAACAUGUAUUGGGUGGAUGGUGCUGCAAGAAGAGCCUACAAACAUUUCCGUGAUUGCAUUUCGUUCGAUGCGACAUAUCUCACGAAUAUGUACAAGAUGCCAUGUGCUCCAUUCAUAGGAAUAAAUAACCACAACCAGUCAUUGCAGUUCGGUUGCAGACUCAUUCGGAACGAAGAUGCAGAUGGUUACACUUGGCUGUUCAAAACCAUCUUGGAGUGCAUGGAUGGUCUUGCUCCGAUGAACAUAAUAACAGACCAGGAUUUUAGCAUGCGUGCAGGAAGAUAG
RNAcentral lists this ribosomal RNA (504 nucleotides) under Triticum aestivum (bread wheat). Its description in RNAcentral is "partial small subunit ribosomal RNA". Lineage: Eukaryota; Viridiplantae; Streptophyta; Magnoliopsida; Poales; Poaceae. The record is from RNAcentral.